This 1227-nucleotide ribosomal RNA is filed under the name Rhodotorula sp. TJUWZC3. RNAcentral's name for it is "SSU rRNA". It matches the Rfam family "Eukaryotic small subunit ribosomal RNA", at positions 451 to 1748 of the family's 1831-position model. Lineage: Eukaryota; Fungi; Basidiomycota; Microbotryomycetes; Sporidiobolales; Sporidiobolaceae. The record is from RNAcentral.
CGGAACCGGGAGAAUACGGGCAAUACUCCAGUUAGCCCUUUCGGUCUAAAUGAUGAGUACAAUCAUUCUACCGAGAUCAUGAGGCAGGUCGUGCAGCAGGCGCGUAUCAGCUCAUAGCGUAUAUUAAAGUGGUGCCGUAAAAGCUCGUAGUCGACUCGCUCUGCCGCCCGGUCGCUAAUGGGUGUGUACUGAGCGUGGAGGCUUACCUCGUGUGAACGGCCAUGCCCUUUACUGGGUGUGGUCGGGAACCAUGACUUUUACUGUGAAAAAAUUAGAGUGUUCAAAGCAGGCUUACGCCCGAAUACAUUAGCAUGGAAUAAUAAAAUAGGACGUGCGGUCCUAUUUUGUUGGUUUCUAGGAUCGCCGUAAUGAUUAAUAGGGAUAGUUGGGGGCAUUCGUAUUCAAUUGUCAGAGGUGAAAUUCUUGGAUUUAUUGAAGACGAACUACUGCGAAAGCAUUUGCCAAGGAUGUUUUCAUUGAUCAAGAACGAAGGUUAGGGGAUCGAAAACGAUCAGAUACCGUUGUAGUCUUAACAGUAAACGAUGCCGACUAGGGAUCGGAUGAGGUUUUUAAUGACUCAUUCGGCACCUGAAGAGAAAUCUUUAAGUCAGGUUCGGGGGGGAGUAUGGUCGCAAGGCUGAAACUUAAAGGAAUUGACGGAAGGGCACCACCAGGUGUGGAGCCUGCGGCUUAAUUUGACUCAACACGGGGAAACUCACCAGGUCCAGACACGACAAGGAUUGACAGAUUGAUAGCUCUUUCUUGAUUUCGUGGUUGGUGGUGCAUGGCCGUUCUUAGUUGGUGGAGUGAUUUGUCUGGUUAAUUCCGAUAACGAACGAGACCUUAACCUGCUAAAUAGCCCGGCCGACUUUGGUUGGUCGCUGGCUUCUUAGAGGGACUAUCGACGUCUAGUCGAUGGAAGUUUGAGGCAAUAACAGGUCUGUGAUGCCCUUAGAUGUUCUGGGCCGCACGCGCGCUACACUGACCGAACCAGCGAGUUUAUUUCCUUGGCCGGAAGGCCUGGGUAAUCUUGUGAAAUUCGGUCGUGAUGGGGAUAGAGCAUUGCAAUUAUUGCUCUUCAACGAGGAAUACCUAGUAAGCGUGAGUCAUCAGCUCGCGUUGAAUUCGUCCCUGCCCUUUGUACACACCGCCCGUCGCUACUACCGAUUGAAUGGCUUAGUGAGGCCUUCGGAUUGGCUUCUGGGAGCCGGCAACGCACCAGAACAA